Molecule: ribosomal RNA, 3005 nt
Filed under: Salmonella enterica
Lineage: Bacteria; Pseudomonadati; Pseudomonadota; Gammaproteobacteria; Enterobacterales; Enterobacteriaceae
Description: bacterial LSU rRNA
Rfam family: Bacterial large subunit ribosomal RNA
Source: RNAcentral
UUAAGCGACUAAGCGUACACGGUGGAUGCCCUGGCAGUCAGAGGCGAUGAAGGACGUGCUAAUCUGCGAUAAGCGCCGGUAAGGUGAUAUGAACCGUUAUAACCGGCGAUUUCCGAAUGGGGAAACCCAGUGUGACUCGUCACACUAUCAUUAACUGAAUCCAUAGGUUAAUGAGGCGAACCGGGGGAACUGAAACAUCUAAGUACCCCGAGGAAAAGAAAUCAACCGAGAUUCCCCCAGUAGCGGCGAGCGAACGGGGAGGAGCCCAGAGCCUGAAUCAGCAUGUGUGUUAGUGGAAGCGUCUGGAAAGGCGCGCGAUACAGGGUGACAGCCCCGUACACAAAAGCGCAUGUGCUGUGAGCUCGAUGAGUAGGGCGGGACACGUGGUAUCCUGUCUGAAUAUGGGGGGACCAUCCUCCAAGGCUAAAUACUCCUGACUGACCGAUAGUGAACCAGUACCGUGAGGGAAAGGCGAAAAGAACCCCGGCGAGGGGAGUGAAAAAGAACCUGAAACCGUGUACGUACAAGCAGUGGGAGCCCCACCACUAAGCCAGUGGUGAACUCCACAUACGCAUCCUUUGCUGAGGAUACGGUUAACGGAGCGAAAGCGACGUUCAACCGCAAAACAAGCAGAGGGGGCUUAGUGGUGGGGUGACUGCGUACCUUUUGUAUAAUGGGUCAGCGACUUAUAUUCUGUAGCAAGGUUAACCGAAUAGGGGAGCCGGAGGGAAACCGAGUCUUAACCGGGCGUUAAGUUGCAGGGUAUAGACCCGAAACCCGGUGAUCUAGCCAUGGGCAGGUUGAAGGUUGGGUAACACUAACUGGAGGACCGAACCGACUAAUGUUGAAAAAUUAGCGGAUGACCUGUGGCUGGGGGUGAAAGGCCAAUCAAACCGGGAGAUAGCUGGUUCUCCCCGAAAGCUAUUUAGGUAGCGCCUCGUGAAUUCAUCUCCGGGGGUAGAGCACUGUUUCGGCUAGGGGGCCAUCCCGGCUUACCAACCCGAUGCAAACUGCGAAUACCGGAGAAUGUUAUCACGGGAGACACACGGCGGGUGCUAACGUCCGUCGUGAAGAGGGAAACAACCCAGACCGCCAGCUAAGGUCCCAAAGUCAUGGUUAAGUGGGAAACGAUGUGGGAAGGCCCAGACAGCCAGGAUGUUGGCUUAGAAGCAGCCAUCAUUUAAAGAAAGCGUAAUAGCUCACUGGUCGAGUCGGCCUGCGCGGAAGAUGUAACGGGGCUAAACCAUGCACCGAAGCUGCGGCAGCGACACUCAGGUGUUGUUGGGUAGGGGAGCGUUCUGUAAGCCUGUGAAGGUGGCCUGUGAGGGUUGCUGGAGGUAUCAGAAGUGCGAAUGCUGACAUAAGUAACGAUAAAGCGGGUGAAAAGCCCGCUCGCCGGAAGACCAAGGGUUCCUGUCCAACGUUAAUCGGGGCAGGGUGAGUCGACCCCUAAGGCGAGGCCGAAAGGCGUAGUCGAUGGGAAACGGGUUAAUAUUCCCGUACUUGGUGUUACUGCGAAGGGGGGACGGAGAAGGCUAUGUUGGCCGGGCGACGGUUGUCCCGGUUUAAGCGUGUAGGUGUGUGUUCCAGGUAAAUCCGGUUCACUUUAACACUGAGGCGUGACGACGAGGCACUACGGUGCUGAAGCAACAAAUGCCCUGCUUCCAGGAAAAGCCUCUAAGCAUCAGGUAACAUCAAAUCGUACCCCAAACCGACACAGGUGGUCAGGUAGAGAAUACCAAGGCGCUUGAGAGAACUCGGGUGAAGGAACUAGGCAAAAUGGUGCCGUAACUUCGGGAGAAGGCACGCUGACACGUAGGUGAAGUGAUUUACUCAUGGAGCUGAAGUCAGUCGAAGAUACCAGCUGGCUGCAACUGUUUAUUAAAAACACAGCACUGUGCAAACACGAAAGUGGACGUAUACGGUGUGACGCCUGCCCGGUGCCGGAAGGUUAAUUGAUGGGGUCAGCGCAAGCGAAGCUCCUGAUCGAAGCCCCGGUAAACGGCGGCCGUAACUAUAACGGUCCUAAGGUAGCGAAAUUCCUUGUCGGGUAAGUUCCGACCUGCACGAAUGGCGUAAUGAUGGCCAGGCUGUCUCCACCCGAGACUCAGUGAAAUUGAACUCGCUGUGAAGAUGCAGUGUACCCGCGGCAAGACGGAAAGACCCCGUGAACCUUUACUAUAGCUUGACACUGAACAUUGAGCCUUGAUGUGUAGGAUAGGUGGGAGGCUUUGAAGCGUGGACGCCAGUCUGCGUGGAGCCGACCUUGAAAUACCACCCUUUAAUGUUUGAUGUUCUAACGUGGACCCGUGAUCCGGGUUGCGGACAGUGUCUGGUGGGUAGUUUGACUGGGGCGGUCUCCUCCUAAAGAGUAACGGAGGAGCACGAAGGUUGGCUAAUCCUGGUCGGACAUCAGGAGGUUAGUGCAAUGGCAUAAGCCAGCUUGACUGCGAGCGUGACGGCGCGAGCAGGUGCGAAAGCAGGUCAUAGUGAUCCGGUGGUUCUGAAUGGAAGGGCCAUCGCUCAACGGAUAAAAGGUACUCCGGGGAUAACAGGCUGAUACCGCCCAAGAGUUCAUAUCGACGGCGGUGUUUGGCACCUCGAUGUCGGCUCAUCACAUCCUGGGGCUGAAGUAGGUCCCAAGGGUAUGGCUGUUCGCCAUUUAAAGUGGUACGCGAGCUGGGUUUAGAACGUCGUGAGACAGUUCGGUCCCUAUCUGCCGUGGGCGCUGGAGAACUGAGGGGGGCUGCUCCUAGUACGAGAGGACCGGAGUGGACGCAUCACUGGUGUUCGGGUUGUCAUGCCAAUGGCACUGCCCGGUAGCUAAAUGCGGAAGAGAUAAGUGCUGAAAGCAUCUAAGCACGAAACUUGCCCCGAGAUGAGUUCUCCCUGAGACUUAGAGUCUCCUGAAGGAACGUUGAAGACGACGACGUUGAUAGGCCGGGUGUGUAAGCGCAGCGAUGCGUUGAGCUAACCGGUACUAAUGAACCGUGAGGCUUAACCUU